GAUGAACGCUGGCGGCGUGCCUAAUACAUGCAAGUCGAACGAAGCCUUCGGGCUUAGUGGCGAACGGGUGAGUAACACGUUGGUACCUACCCUCUAGUGGGGAAUAACUGGCCGAAAGGUCGGCUAAUACCGCAUAAUACCGCAAGGUUAAAGCAGCAAUGCGCUAGAGGAGGGGCCUGCGUCCCAUUAGCUUGUUGGUAGUGUAAUGGACUACCAAGGCGACGAUGGGUAGCUGGAUCGAGAGGUUGACCAGCCACACUGGGACUGAGAUACGGCCCAGACUCCUACGGGAGGCAGCAGUAAGGAAUCUUCCACAAUGGACGAAAGUCUGAUGGAGCAACGCCGCGUGCAGGAUGACGGCCUUCGGGUUGUAAACUGCUUUUAUAUGGGAAGAUUAUGACGGUACCAUAUGAAUAAGGACCGGCUAACUACGUGCAAGCAGCAGCCGCGGUAA
Molecule: ribosomal RNA, 454 nt
Filed under: uncultured bacterium
Lineage: Bacteria
Description: partial 16S ribosomal RNA
Rfam family: Bacterial small subunit ribosomal RNA
Source: RNAcentral